GACGUAGGGGGCCAGCGUUGUUCGGAAUCACUGGGCGUAAAGGGUGCGUAGGUGGGUUGGUAAGUCAGUGGUGAAAUCUCCAGGCUUAACUUGGAAACUGCCAUUGAUACUAUCAAUCUUGAAUACCGUGGAGGUCAGCGGAAUAUGUCAUGUAGCGGUGAAAUGCUUAGAUAUGACAUAGAACACCAAUUGCGAAGGCAGCUGGCUACGCGGAUAUUGACACUGAUGCACGAAAGCGUGGGGAUCAAACAGG
RNAcentral lists this ribosomal RNA (253 nucleotides) under uncultured bacterium. Its description in RNAcentral is "partial 16S ribosomal RNA". It matches the Rfam family "Bacterial small subunit ribosomal RNA", at positions 524 to 776 of the family's 1533-position model. The record is from RNAcentral.